CGAAAUUGGAAUCUAACUUUGUUUUGGACUAUGUCAAGUGUGAGUCCUAGUCGAAGUCGAGCUAGGGUCCGAUUUGAAAGGGAGAUUGUUAUGAUGCCAUGCUGUUUAUGAGAGGUGGCGUGUGUUCAUUGGUUCAAGUAUCAUUGUUUUGACUGCGAAACGUGGCAUUAUUAUGUUGGUUUGUUAUCUUUAAAUCAGGGAAUUGGUUUUUGGAUUGAGAUGUUAAACAGUUGGAUUAGGCGCUGAGUUUUCAGUAUAAUAUUCAUGGUUUCAUGGAAUAUUCGAACUACCCGGCAGAGGGGGCCCAAGCCCCAGGCGCGAGUCUCAGUGGGCUUUAGUUGCCCAGGCAAUUAGUGGGUCCCACAUAACUGGACAGGUCUAAAGGCAAAGCGAGUUUGAGCUCGUGAUUGGGCUAGUUGACGUCAAGACUGACAUUAGCAACGUAAUUUUUUUAAAAAAAAUAAAAAAGAAAUCUGGAAAAAUUCCAACAAAUUCAGAAACAUUUUUUUAAAACAUAUCUAGCAAUUUUAUUAUUACUAGCCCCUUCCCUUGUCAAUUGAUUUUUAUUUUUUAUUUUUUAUUUUUUAUUUUAUUUUUAGAAUUAAGAAAAUAUAAUAUGAGUAGUUAUGUUCCAUAAAAGUAUGAUUUAUUAUUUUAUUUUAUUGUUAAUUUUAAUUUUUUUAAUAUGAAAAAAUUUGAUUAAUAAUUUCAACCCUAAACCCUACAAUAUUAUCCUCAUUUAAUUAAUAAUUUCAAUUCUUAAUGUUUGAAUUAACCAAUGACAUUUUUUGGUAUUUUGAAUGUUUCACCA
This 811-nucleotide long non-coding RNA is filed under the name Prunus persica (peach). RNAcentral describes it as "long non-coding RNA (PPER_LNC000274)". The record is from RNAcentral. Lineage: Eukaryota; Viridiplantae; Streptophyta; Magnoliopsida; Rosales; Rosaceae.